AGGUGUUUCUCUCAUUUCUGUGUUUCUCAUCACAGACGUCACCUUUGACCUUUGGGAGGCAGCGGAGCAAGAUGGCGGCGGUCAUACCACCGGAAGAUGAUGUAAUAAAACAGCUGAGGGGGGCUGGCAUUGGGAAAGUUCAUCCUCAGCCCCUCUCUCCAACUUCCACUAAGCUUCUGCUGGAGCUUAUCGCCUGCAUCCUCCCAUCUCCUCAUCUGGAGCGUGGAGGUGUGCGCGCGUGCCAGCUGGACGUCUUGAGAGAAAGAAAACUUCACAUCCACGACCUCACGCUCGCACACAGUGGGUUUCCUCGUAAGUGGGUUAUGUGUAACUUCAAAUAGCCCCGUUUCACAACAGGGAGAGCCUCAAGAUCAGCCUCCCCUCGCUGCACUUCCUCCCGCUUCACGUUUGAUACGAAGUUAGACAUCCGCGCGCAGCAUCUAGGUGCGUGAAUGUGCAGCGGGGAGUCUGGGAUUUUCUUCAAGGUCACUUCCCCGCAUAGCCCGUAUGACCGCACGGCACAAGCUAGAUGCGGCAUCGCAGCACACAAUCGAAAACGGCGGAGCAAUGUGUUUGAUGUGGAUGCUGUUGCAUAACCAUGCUUAUUUACAGUCCGUGCUGGAAAGUCACAUGACAAUUUUGGGCUCGGAAGAAAAACAAGAUGAGGUGAUGAUGACGUUAGAUUUAACAUGUCAAAGAAGAGUAGGGAUUGGGGGUGGGAGGGGCCGGGCGUGAGAGAGAGCGCACUGGCGGGAUGGUUAAGGUCAAAGGAGACAUCGCAGCGUGCGUUCCUCAUCCUUCCCUCCAGCCUCAUCCUCUGCUAUUGUUUAAUCUGCUCUUUCUUAAACCAAAACAUCUCAAUAAUCCCGUCCAUGCAGUUUGGGGAGGGGGGCGGGGGGUUGACCAUUGAGGCGGGAAUGCUGCAACAAGGCAAGGGAUGGGGGGGAGAUAUACAGGAGUCUCUCUAUGUGACUGACUAUGUGACACGAAAAAUCUAUUUUUUGCAAAUAGAGAUGAUCAAUCCUUUACCAGUUGGAUUUUGCCACUUGUUAAUAUUUUCAAAAUAUCAAAAGUAGUUUCCUUGGCAUUAUAGCAGGGCGGCAGUGAAAAUAGCAGGGGCCCCAAGAUAGAACCCUGUGCAACACCAUACGACGCAAGGGCAGUGCGGUACUCAGCCAAAGAAUCUAAAUGUGUCGCAAGAUGAGUUCUAAAAGUGGACAGAGCAUGCACCAGCGACCGACUCUUACAGGACCAAAAUUGAAAAAUAAGUUUUCAGCACAACAGUCAUUCAGUCAAUAGAUUUGACUUUCCCCUCUUAAAAGGAAAAUAAUAUAAAACUAAAGAUCCCUAAAUUGUACAAUGUAUCCCCAGCAAAGUACACACCUUUAAUCAUUGUUUUGACAACUCCGGCUUGUAAAAAAAAAAAAACAAAAAAAUAUUGUGUUCGGGGGCAUGCCAUCCUUUGCUAAUGGUCUGUUAAUUGUGUUUAAUAUUCGAUGAGGUAAGCGGCAUAAAACCAUGAGACCACAGUGUGAAUAUUUCCUUCCCGCUGAAAACUGGAACCACCGAGCAGAAAUAAUAAAAGUCGUGUAAAAAACUCCGUUAAAAUGAUCGUUUCCAAGGACCCCCUCCCCCCCCCAUCCCCAAAGGGCAUCUGACAGUAAGGUUGUUUGAGUAGGCCCAGCCGACCCGCACUACAUCAAAACAAAGUUCCCGGUGACCACAGAGAAGUCAUUUAAUAGGCUGAUUACAUCUCGGCAGGCUAUAAAAACAUACAGUAAAUUCACAAAGCCAUUAUGUUCGCGUUAAAAGAAGGCGCUCAUAAAACAGCUCAGGUGCCUUUUAAAAUGUUUUUGGUCGUCCUUCAUCCGCCUCACACGCGCUGUUGAAACU
This is a long non-coding RNA of Hippocampus zosterae (dwarf seahorse), 1893 nucleotides long. RefSeq lists it as uncharacterized. The record is from RefSeq and is a predicted model, not a curated record. The transcript has 3 exons. NCBI's taxonomy places the organism in Eukaryota, Metazoa, Chordata, Actinopteri, Syngnathiformes, Syngnathidae.